RNAcentral lists this ribosomal RNA (406 nucleotides) under uncultured bacterium. Its description in RNAcentral is "partial 16S ribosomal RNA". It matches the Rfam family "Bacterial small subunit ribosomal RNA", at positions 30 to 526 of the family's 1533-position model. The record is from RNAcentral.
AUUGAACGCUGGCGGCAGGCUUAACACAUGCAAGUCGAGCGAGCGGCGGACGGGUGAGUAAUGUCUGGGAAACUGCCUGAUGGAGGGGGAUAACUACUGGAAACGGUAGCUAAUACCGCAUACCAUCAGAUGUGCCCAGAUGGGAUUAGCUAGUAGGUGGGGUAAUGGCUCACCUAGGCGACGAUCCCUAGCUGGUCUGAGAGGAUCACCGCCCAACCUGGAACUGAGACACGGUCCAGACUCCAACGGGGGGCAGAGGUGGGGAAUAUUGCACAAGGGGCGCAAGCCUGAUGCAGCAAUGCGGCGUGUGUGAAGAAGGCCUUCGGGUUGUAAAGCACUUUCAGCGAGGAGGCGUUACUCGCAGAAGAAGCACCGGCUAACUCCGUGCCAGCCGCCGCGGUAAUAC